RNAcentral lists this transfer-messenger RNA (361 nucleotides) under Pseudogemmatithrix spongiicola. It matches the Rfam family "transfer-messenger RNA". Rfam says of the family: Bacterial tmRNA, also known as 10Sa RNA or SsrA, is named for its dual tRNA and mRNA-like properties. Its role is to liberate the mRNA from a stalled ribosome. To accomplish this part of the tmRNA is used as a reading frame that ends in a translation stop signal. The record is from RNAcentral. Lineage: Bacteria; Pseudomonadati; Gemmatimonadota; Gemmatimonadia; Gemmatimonadales; Gemmatimonadaceae.
GGGGGCGACUGGUUUCGAUUGUGUAGGUGGCUCCGUGGUUGCGCGCCGAGGUCCUCGGGCUCCUCGUAAAACACUCGGGAAAAUCACAACUGCGAACAACAACUUCGCUCUCGCUGCGUAAGACCUAGUCUUACCGUAGCAGUGCCUGAGAGGUAGCCCUGCCCGGGGCGACGCUCAGGUAUCGCAAAUCCGGGCUGGCUGUCUGGCGCGCCCUCCGCCAGAUGGCGAGAUCAAGAAGGGCUCAUCCGGACGACGGCGGCCACUCGGCCAGCGUACGGAAACAUCAAUCGAGUGGCUACGCGCGUAGACGCUGUGGAAGAUCUUAUGCAAGACGAGGGUUCGAAUCCCUCCGCCUCCACUG